CCUACGGGAGGCAGCAGUGGGGAAUUUUGGACAAUGGACGCAAGUCUGAUCCAGCCAUGCCGCGUGCGGGAAGAAGGCCUUCGGGUUGUAAACCGCUUUUGUCAGGGAAGAAAAGGUUCUGGUUAAUACCUGGGACUCAUGACGGUACCUGAAGAAUAAGCACCGGCUAACUACGUGCCAGCAGCCGCGGUAAUACGUAGGGUGCAAGCGUUAAUCGGAAUUACUGGGCGUAAAGCGUGCGCAGGCGGUUAUGCAAGACAGAGGUGAAAUCCCCGGGCUCAACCUGGGAACUGCCUUUGUGACUGCAUAGCUAGAGUACGGUAGAGGGGGAUGGAAUUCCGCGUGUAGCAGUGAAAUGCGUAGAUAUGCGGAGGAACACCGAUGGCGAAGGCAAUCCCCUGGACCUGUACUGACGCUCAUGCACGAAAGCGUGGGGAGCAAACAGGAUUAGAUACCCUGGUAGUCCACGCCCUAAACGAUGUCAACUGGUUGUUGGGAGGGUUUCUUCUCAGUAACGUAGCUAACGCGUGAAGUUGACCGCCUGGGGAGUACGGCCGCAAGGUUGAAACUUAAGGAAUU
RNAcentral lists this ribosomal RNA (579 nucleotides) under uncultured bacterium. RNAcentral's name for it is "bacterial SSU rRNA". It matches the Rfam family "Bacterial small subunit ribosomal RNA", at positions 338 to 911 of the family's 1533-position model. The record is from RNAcentral.